GCAGGGUAAUGCGCAGAGCGGGGCCGGCGCUGUCCGAGGCGAGCAGGCAGCGUUGCAAGGGGAAGGACCCAGAAGCGCGGCGGGAGCAGCGACUGCGUUUUAGCCGCUGAGCGGCCUGCAGGCCUACAGCCCGCGAAGGCACUCUCGGGGGCGUGUGGCUCUGAGGGCCAGGGAGGUCGCAGGCGGCGGCCGGAGCGCAGAGGAGCGGCUUCAGCCGGGCGGAGGGGUGUGAGCCCGGCCCGUGGCGGCCACGUCUCCCGGGAGAUGCUGUGACGGACCCGCACGGGAGGAGCUCGCGCCUGGCCUGGCGACCCGGUGGACUCGGCCCGCGGCGCUCACCCGCCCUGUUCAGUGGAAGUAUGCGAGACUUAAGAGCUCAAGUGACUAGUGGUCUCCUGCCAUUUCCAGAAGUGACUCUUCAAGCCCUUGGAGAAGACGAAAUAACAUUAGAAUCUGUGCUUCGUGGCAAGUUUGCUGCAGGGAAAAAUGGACUUGCUUGCUUGGCUUGUGGUCCACAACUUGAGGUAGUAAACUCUAUAACAGGAGAGCGAUUGUCUGCUUACAGAUUCAGUGGAGUCAAUGAACAGCCUCCUGUAGUUUUAGCUGUGAAAGAAUUCUCUUGGCAGAAGAGAACUGGAUUAUUAAUAGGAUUGGAAGAAACAGAAGGGAGUGUUCUCUGUCUUUAUGACCUUGGAAUAUCAAAAGUAGUUAAAGCAGUUGUUCUUCCUGGAA
RNAcentral lists this long non-coding RNA (732 nucleotides) under Pan troglodytes (chimpanzee). RNAcentral's name for it is "long non-coding RNA NONPTRT001541". The record is from RNAcentral. Lineage: Eukaryota; Metazoa; Chordata; Mammalia; Primates; Hominidae.